RNAcentral lists this ribosomal RNA (253 nucleotides) under uncultured bacterium. Its description in RNAcentral is "partial 16S ribosomal RNA". It matches the Rfam family "Bacterial small subunit ribosomal RNA", at positions 524 to 776 of the family's 1533-position model. The record is from RNAcentral.
UACGUAGGGUGCGAGCGUUAAUCGGAAUUACUGGGCGUAAAGCGUGCGCAGGCGGUUGUGCAAGACAGAUGUGAAAUCCCCGGGCUUAACCUGGGAACUGCAUUUGUGACUGCACGGCUAGAGUACGGCAGAGGGGGAUGGAAUUCCGCGUGUAGCAGUGAAAUGCGUAGAUAUGCGGAGGAACACCGAUGGCGAAGGCAGUCCCCUGGGCCUGUACUGACGCUCAUGCACGACAGCGUGGGGAGCAAACCCG